GUCACUCUCUCUGAUGAGGAUGACGACUCUCUCUGCUCCACUCCAGAGGAUGAUGGUGAUGAUAAUGAUGAUGGUGGUCUUUGUUUUGGUGACACCUCUUCCUUCUCCAUGUGUACGUCUCAGACGUGAAAAUGUGAACAUGUCAAAUCCUCAUCUGGCCGAUCACAACAACACCAGUGCAGAGGGGUUCACUGAGAUUGCUGUGCGGAACAACACAGUAAAAAACAUGGGAACCCACAUGGGGAACAGCACGGAGCAUGCCAUGGGGAACAGCACCCCCACGCUUUUGAAGCCAGAAUCAGUGUAUGUAUCUGUCACCACAUGGUCUGAUUGGCCGAGAAAACACCAUCAGAAGAUUCAUGGGGCCACAGGUGCUCGGUGUGUCCUGGCCACCUGUGGGACAGCGAACCUAGUUGACAGAUUGCAGGGUGGAGAGGAGAAGGCUGGCGACGCCACCGCAGACCCCUUUGGUCCUGGGAAAAAGUGAAGGGAGGCACCUGUUACUACUUUAUCAUCUUCAUCAUCAUCAGCUCCACCUCACACUCACCUGUCUGAGAGAAAAACACAAGAAAACCUAACCUUCACACAUCUGAGGAUGCAAAGAAGUUAACUACAAUUCUCAAGAUCCAUCUUACCAACAAACAUCCAGUGACAGAGCUGCACGCCACCACAGGUGGAAACCAAAGAGAACCAUCUUCAGUCUCACCUGUUUGAGUCCAACUGUGGUCACAUGGUCCAGCACAUGAUUGACAGAGACUCGAUGACUUUCAGCUCCUCCCAGUAUGUAUUUACAUCUUAUACUUUUAUUUUGAAGGGGCCUGUCGCUGAUCACUUGAAGUUUUCCUGUCGCCUUUUACGUGUCAGUUUGUGUCUCUGACAUCAGAGACAGAAAUUAAACAAAGCUAUUAAUUAACAAAGUUUGUUGGUGUUUCUGUGGAGCUGGUCGGAGUCACACUGAGCAUGUGCAAAAUGCCUACCUGUAAAUGUGACAGUCUGAAAUGUGUCCAUGUAAAGAAAAUCUGUUUCCAAUAAAGUAUUAAAUAAAGUUUGACUCUCCCUGC
This is a long non-coding RNA of Astatotilapia calliptera (eastern happy), 1061 nucleotides long. The record is from Ensembl. NCBI's taxonomy places the organism in Eukaryota, Metazoa, Chordata, Actinopteri, Cichliformes, Cichlidae.